RNAcentral lists this ribosomal RNA (489 nucleotides) under uncultured bacterium. Its description in RNAcentral is "bacterial SSU rRNA". It matches the Rfam family "Bacterial small subunit ribosomal RNA", at positions 30 to 506 of the family's 1533-position model. The record is from RNAcentral.
AUUGAACGCUGGCGGCAUGCCUUACACAUGCAAGUCGAACGGCAGCGCGGGGCAACCUGGCGGCGAGUGGCGAACGGGUGAGUAAUAUAUCGGAACAUACCCUAGAGUGGGGGAUAACGUAGCGAAAGUUACGCUAAUACCGCAUACGCACUAAGGUGGAAAGUGGGGGGAUUCGCAAGAACCUCAUGCUCAUGGAGUGGCCGAUAUCUGAUUAGCUAGUUGGUGAGGUAAAGGCUCACCAAGGCGACGAUCAGUAGCUGGUUUGAGAGAACGACCAGCCACACUGGAACUGAGACACGGUCCAGACUCCUACGGAGGCAGCAGUGGGGAAUUUUGGACAAUGGGGGCAACCCUGAUCCAGCAAUGCCGCGUGAGUGAAGAAGGCCUUCGGGUUGUAAAGGCUCUUUUGUUCAGGGAAGAAACGGUAGAGUUCGUAAUAAGGACUUGCUAAUGACGGUACCUGAAGAAUAAGCACCGGCGUAACUACGU